This is a transfer RNA of 73 nucleotides. It matches the Rfam family "tRNA". Rfam says of the family: Transfer RNA (tRNA) molecules are approximately 80 nucleotides in length. Their secondary structure includes four short double-helical elements and three loops (D, anti-codon, and T loops). The record is from Rfam.
GGUUCUUUGAUUUAAUUGGUUAAAAUACUUUCUUGAUAAGAAUGAUUUCAGUGUUCGAACCACUGAAGAAUCA